GUCUCUGAUGUGGCCUUCGUCUCUGCUGUGGCCUUCGUCUCUGCUGUGGCCUUCGUCUCUGCUGUGGCCUUCGUGUCUGCUGUGGCCUUCGUCUCUGCUGUGGCCUUCGUCUCUGCUGUGGCCUUCGUCUCUACUACGACUUCUCAUGAUUUCGUUACUCGCGUUUUCAAGUUAGCAGCCGCGGCCUCCCUCAUGUGCCCUCGGUGAGCCUAAGAUGGCGGAGUGUGAGGGGAGCGUCCUACUCCAGUGCGACCGAGGGAAGCUAUUGAGACGUCCGUGCUGAGGGAAAUUACGCAGAAGCACAUGAGGGAGACCCAGCCAUUGUUAACGAGGGCUGAGUGAGGGGCGGCGUUCUGAAGAGGGAAUUACUCGCCGAACACAAACCGUGGUGAAGGCGUUGAAGUUGAGGCUAGGAUUUACUGAAGCCUUGCUUGUCGCGCGAAAUUCUGAGCGGUAACUCAGUUAUACGCACGGCGCCCGCCUCAAACUGAUGAGGGGUGUGCUGGUGUGCACAGGGAUGAAGGUGAGGGGCAAG
Hyalella azteca is the source of this 535-nucleotide long non-coding RNA. RefSeq lists it as uncharacterized. The record is from RefSeq and is a predicted model, not a curated record. The transcript is spliced from 3 exons. NCBI's taxonomy places the organism in Eukaryota, Metazoa, Arthropoda, Malacostraca, Amphipoda, Hyalellidae.